This 430-nucleotide transfer-messenger RNA is filed under the name Candidatus Omnitrophota. RNAcentral describes it as "JAMWCB01 sp023819605 Standard tmRNA". It matches the Rfam family "transfer-messenger RNA". Rfam says of the family: Bacterial tmRNA, also known as 10Sa RNA or SsrA, is named for its dual tRNA and mRNA-like properties. Its role is to liberate the mRNA from a stalled ribosome. To accomplish this part of the tmRNA is used as a reading frame that ends in a translation stop signal. RNAcentral also lists the same sequence under 1 other name. Lineage: Bacteria; Pseudomonadati. The record is from RNAcentral.
GGGGGUGAAAGGGUUCGACUUAGGUCAACUGAGUAAGAGCAGCAUGUCGAGGUUGUCGGGAGGCCUCGUAAAACACCUGACACACAUAUAAAGGCUGAAACAGAAGUUCCAGCAAGCGUGGACGCGCUUCUCUCGAGAAUUGGUGAGGGAAUUUCUCAUCCGGUUUUCGGUGGAGUUGCUCCCGUCGCAAGCGUUGCCUUAAGAUAAGGCAACCCGUCUUUUCAUUUUCGCCUGCGGGAUGAACAGACGCAUGCAGCAGGCUCGUCAUCGUCGGUUUGUUUUUGACGGCGCUGAUUAAACCUUCAAAAGCUGCCCUGCGUGGAAUCCUGUCUGCCGGAGUCGGCGCGGGCAAGCCAAAAGGCAGGCUAAACAUGUAGAUACUCUUAUGCGUUGCUUAAGGACGCGGGUUCAAUUCCCGCCACCUCCACCA